Molecule: ribosomal RNA, 421 nt
Filed under: uncultured bacterium
Lineage: Bacteria
Description: partial 16S ribosomal RNA
Rfam family: Bacterial small subunit ribosomal RNA
Source: RNAcentral
AACAUUGGAAAAUGGGGGCAACCCUGAUCCAGCCAUGCCGCGUGUGUGAAGAAGGUCUUCGGAUUGUAACGCACUUUACGUUGGGAGAAAGGGCUUUAGGUUAAUACCCUGAAGUUUUGAUGAUACCCACAGAAUAAGCAGCGGCUAACUCUGUGCCCGCAGCCGCGGUAAUACAGAGGGUGCAAGCGUUAGUCAGAAUUACUGGGCGUAAAGCGCGCGUAGGUGGUUCAGUAAGAUGGGUAUAAAAUCCCCGGGCUUAACCUGGGAACUGCUUUCAUAACUGCUGAGCUAGAGUACGGUAGAGGGUAGUGGAAUUUCCUGUGUAGCGGUGAAAUGCGUAGAUAUAGGAAGGAACACCAGUGGCGAAGGCGACUACCUGGACUGAUACUGACACUGAGGUGCGAAAGCGUGGGGAGCAAAC